This 253-nucleotide ribosomal RNA is filed under the name uncultured bacterium. RNAcentral describes it as "partial 16S ribosomal RNA". It matches the Rfam family "Bacterial small subunit ribosomal RNA", at positions 524 to 776 of the family's 1533-position model. The record is from RNAcentral.
UACGUAGGGGGCAAGCGUUGUCCGGAUUUAUUGGGCGUAAAGAGCGUGUAGGCGGCCUGAAAGGUCAGCUGUGAAAACUCGAGGCUCAACCUCGAGACGUCGGUUGAAACCAUCUGGCUAGAGUCCGGAAGAGGAGAGUGGAAUUCCCGGUGUAGCGGUGAAAUGCGCAGAUAUCGGGAGGAACACCCGUAGCGAAGGCGGCACUCUGGGCCGAUACUGACACUGAGGAGCGAAAGCGUGGGGAGCGAACAGG